CCCUCAGGUAAGUAAACCAGAAUAUCUGCCUUGAGGCUGGAUUUACUCGGAGUCAACCCUCGGGCCACUGUUCGGAAGCUUCCCUGGCGACGAGAACCUGGGGCCCCGAUUACUUCCGCUCCCAGCGGCCCCAAGACCGGAAGCGAAAGUGCGCUGCGGCAGCGUGGCCUUUGAAGGCUGUGCAGCGGUCCCCACGGCGUACUGCAGUGGGAGUGUCGCUGCAAGGUUUGCAGGUGUGGUCUGGCCCCUCCGGAGCGCAGGGGAGCACGGAGGGGCUGAACGGCCUGGCACAGCUGCUUUGGCCAAGGUCCCUCCUCCCCGUGGUCGCCCUGGGGCUGGGAUGAGGCGCGCACACGUCUGCCUCGCAGCCGCGCCACGCACUCCUCCUCCGGCUGGCUACCUGGUGCUCAGGUAACCGGGGUCUGGGAAGACCCAGCUCAUUCAUCUAUCGGAAGGGAAAUGACGAAGUGCAGUCCAGGUCCUGCAGCUCAGGAAUGGUGACAUCGGGAGGAUGCCUACUGAGACCUUCCACUCUGGCGCUGGUGUCAUGAAUGUUGGGGGUGGUCCUUACUGAGCCAGAACAUGUAUGCUGUCUUAGGAAUCAGUCACCUUCGAGGAUGUGGCAGCGGGGCUCGUCCAGGAGCGGGAGUUGCUGGAUGACGCGCAGAGGAACCUGUACAGAUAUGGAAUACUGGACAACUGUCAGACCCUGGCUCCUAGG
Long non-coding RNA from Phyllostomus discolor (pale spear-nosed bat), 721 nucleotides. RefSeq lists it as uncharacterized. The record is from RefSeq and is a predicted model, not a curated record. The transcript is spliced from 3 exons. Lineage: Eukaryota; Metazoa; Chordata; Mammalia; Chiroptera; Phyllostomidae.